RNAcentral lists this ribosomal RNA (468 nucleotides) under uncultured bacterium. Its description in RNAcentral is "partial 16S ribosomal RNA". It matches the Rfam family "Bacterial small subunit ribosomal RNA", at positions 28 to 507 of the family's 1533-position model. The record is from RNAcentral.
GACGAACGCUGGCGGCGUGCUUAACACAUGCAAGUCGAACGGAAAGGCCCUGCUUUUGUGGGGUGCUCGAGUGGCGAACGGGUGAGUAACACGUGAGUAACCUGCCCUUGACUUUGGGAUAACUUCAGGAAACUGGGGCUAAUACCGGAUAGGAGCUCCUGCUGCAUGGUGGGGGUUGGAAAGUUUCGGCGGUUUGGGAUGGACUCGCGGCUUAUCAGCUUGUUGGUGGGGUAGUGGCUUACCCAGGCUUUGACGGGUAGCCCGCCCGAGAGGGUGACCGGCCACAUGGGGCCUGAGAGACGGCGCAGACUCCUACGGGAGGCAGCAGGGGGGAAUAUUGCACAAUGGGCGGAAGCCUGAUGCAGCAACGCCGCGUGCGGGAUGACGGCCUUCGGGGUGUAAACCGCUUUCGCCUGUGACGAAGCGUGAGUGACGGUAAUGGGUAAAGAAGCACCGGCUAACUACGUG